CUGUGUUGUGAGGUGCAGAGGCCUCCGGCCGUGCUGUGACCCCUGUUUAGCCGUGUUUGGGACUCUGUGUCUUCAAUGGUUGCCAUUACAGCCUCGUCUGGGUAGAGUUUGAGUUCUUUACCAUUCAGUAUCCCUCUGUCUAUUUACACUUGGUGUUAACGUUGACUCGUUUGUCUUGAAAUAGUCAUGGAAGGGAUACGUCAUCUGUUAAUGCUUUUGUGAACUCUUGCAAGAACAUUCCUCUCUGAUGCUAGCAGAUUCUGCAUCUUUGCUGUCACUUAGGGACUGAAGCACGUGAUACCUUCCAGGAUGAAGAUGAAGAAACACUUGGUAAACAUGUGCUCAAUGAGUAUUAGAGAUAGAAAGUCUGGCGAUUCAUGCAUUUUGCGGGAUUGUUUCUUCCACGAGUUUUAUCAUUUUUAAAUGUCAGAAGUAUGUUGUUGGCCAAGUGAGAGUGAAAGAAAAGAAGCAUGGAAGUUUGAACAGACUGUGAGCCUGGUCAGGGAGAAUAACCCCAACAGCUUGUUCUCUCAUUUCCAAAUCUGGAUCUUAUGAACUUCUUGUGUGGAAACCUAGAUGUGUUCCAUACAAAGGCACAGACAAGGGUUUGGUGGGGGAUUAUUUACUCUGACUUUCUUGGGGACUGUGGGCAGAUAAGAGUGCAUGACCCAACCUCCUAGCAGAAUCCUGAAUGGUG
Long non-coding RNA from Heterocephalus glaber (naked mole-rat), 697 nucleotides. Lineage: Eukaryota; Metazoa; Chordata; Mammalia; Rodentia; Bathyergidae. The record is from Ensembl.